This 101-nucleotide long non-coding RNA is filed under the name Apteryx haastii (Great spotted kiwi). RNAcentral's name for it is "lncRNA (ENSAHAG00000013204.1)". Lineage: Eukaryota; Metazoa; Chordata; Aves; Apterygiformes; Apterygidae. The record is from RNAcentral.
GUGCCUGAUAGGCCAGUGCUAGGCCCAUGGCUGCUGUUUGUGGUUGUGAGGGGUGGCUCAGUGCCUGAUAGGCCAGUAUAGGGCCCAUGGGUGCUGUUUGU